This 76-nucleotide transfer RNA is filed under the name Corynebacterium pseudotuberculosis. RNAcentral's name for it is "tRNA-Glu". It matches the Rfam family "tRNA". Rfam says of the family: Transfer RNA (tRNA) molecules are approximately 80 nucleotides in length. Their secondary structure includes four short double-helical elements and three loops (D, anti-codon, and T loops). Lineage: Bacteria; Bacillati; Actinomycetota; Actinomycetes; Mycobacteriales; Corynebacteriaceae. The record is from RNAcentral.
CCCCGUUCGUCUAGCGGGCUAGGACGUCGGCCUCUCACGCCGGUAACACGGGUUCAAAUCCCGUACGGGGUACCAC